GUGGAUUGUACAUUCACAGUUUUGCCCAGGGCAGAAAACAAUCCUGGUGCAAAAAGGAAGAAAUGCAUGUGAGAAAGCUGGGAAAGAUGCAAUACACGGGCAUCCUUGGAAGCUGACAUCUCUUCUUCCAGCUCUGGGCUCAGCUGCCUCAGCCUGGCUCUCUUGGACUCCUCUAACAAAAUCAUCUCCAUUCCUUGAAAAUUUCUUGUGGUUCAUUUCUGCACUUGAUCCUGUCUGAACUUACUUUCUGGUGUGAUGGUUUGUAAGCAUCAAAGAUUGAAGGGAGUCAAGAAACUGUGAAGAUUCCACUCUGAGUUUUUUUCUCAAAUAUUUAGGCAAUGAAAAAUUUCUUCCUCC
This is a long non-coding RNA of Passer montanus (Eurasian tree sparrow), 357 nucleotides long. RefSeq lists it as uncharacterized. Lineage: Eukaryota; Metazoa; Chordata; Aves; Passeriformes; Passeridae. The transcript is spliced from 3 exons. The record is from RefSeq and is a predicted model, not a curated record.